RNAcentral lists this small RNA (118 nucleotides) under Pseudomonas sp. OF001. The record is from RNAcentral. Lineage: Bacteria; Pseudomonadati; Pseudomonadota; Gammaproteobacteria; Pseudomonadales; Pseudomonadaceae.
CUGGACUUGGCGCAGGAAGCGCGAAUCAGAACAUGGAUAACAGGGAUCCCAUCAGGAUGGUGGGGCGAUCACGGAUGUCAGGACACGGUCUGCAAGAACCCCGCUUCGGCGGGGUUUU